Octopus bimaculoides (California two-spot octopus) is the source of this 2062-nucleotide long non-coding RNA. The record is from RefSeq and is a predicted model, not a curated record. Lineage: Eukaryota; Metazoa; Mollusca; Cephalopoda; Octopoda; Octopodidae.
UAACGAGGACACGCUUUACGAGACCUCGGGUUCACGAGCUUUUACGAAUCUUAUUUUCUGUUUACGAGUUUUUGCUUUACGGACGUUCUUCAGGAACGAAUUAACCUGUAUAUCGAGGCAUUGCAGUAUAUUUCAGGAUGAGUAAAACGUAAGCAACGUUUUGAAACAUGAAAUCCAUCACAAUAUAUUUCAACAAUGCAGAAAUUUCAUUCAUCAAGGUUCUAUAUAAUCAUGCCAUGUACAAAAGAAGCCUUGGAACUGUCAGAAUUUCAAAUAGGCCGAAUUGUGGGCUAUUAUGAAGAUGAACAUAGCUUAAAAUCGCAGAAAACCUUUGAAUCCCGGUUUCUACAAUUAAUAAAGGGAUUGUGCAAUUCACAUGAGAAGGGAAGGAGUCCACAUCACUUCGCCCAGAUAAACCAGGACCCUCUGACAGGAUCCUUCCCUUUGCUAAGAGAAGUGUCGAGAAUAAUCCCGCUGCGAGGUCUCUGACAUAGCAGAAUAGGUUAAUGUCAGUCCCAGAACAACUAUCAGAGAAUACCGAACUGGCUUACACAGGAUCUUGUUUUUAGGAAAUCCCAAUAAGUUAUGGAUACCCAAACAGUGAAGUCAGUUAUGUAAUAACAUGAAAUUAGUUUACCGAUAGUAAGAAUUCAAAUAAAGUAGCCCCGAAAACGGCUUUAUUGCGUUCCCAGAGUAUAUAGAACAUAAGAGGAAACACUAAUAAGGAAAAUUGGUAUUUGUUGAUGCAUGCAAGACUUCCUUCUCUACGCCGACGAUGUUUAUCCCAAGGAGACGCGGCCGAUUACUUGGGCCGAUAGAGCCCGGCACCAGUCUUCGUCGCAGAUAUUGUUCUCAGAACUUAAAGAUCCGGAACUGAGCCCACAAAGCACUCGCCAAACAUUCUAAAAUUUCCGUCAAUCCACCAGGAGAGGGCAAGAUAUAUUUUUACAAAGACUGGUUGUUUCUCAUACAUGCAAGACUUCUUUCUCCACGCCAGCGAUAUAUAUCGAAGAGAAAGACCAACGACUAAGAUCUAUAAAGCCUGGCACCACGAUCGUUACAGACCUAGUUAUCAGAGCUCAGUGAACCGUCGUAGAUACCACAUAGUAUACAGCCCAAUCCACUUGGAAUUGUUAGAGACGUGGGUAUCAUAUCUUGUGGUUUUUUCCACUGACCCCAGAAAAGAUGAAAAGCAUAGUUGAUCCUAAUGGGAAUUGAAUUCAGAGAGUUAGGUAUCGGAACAGUUUCUGAAAGACAUUCUAUUCAACGCUGUAACAACUCAUUAUCUAUUAACCUCAUUAUCUAUUAACCUCAUUAUCUACGAACGUCAUAAGGUGAUGUGCUAACAAAAUCGUGAGCAGGUCGGACAAAAUUUUAUACGCCAUUUCUUUCAGCUUUAAGUUCUGAGUUCAAAUACAGCCAAGAUACAUUUUGACUUUCACCUUUUCGGAGUCGAUGAAAUAAGUACCAGUUGAACACUGGGAGAUAACCAGCAAGCUCUUCCUCCAACAUUAUAGGACCUUUACCCAUAGUAAAAAAGAUUUAAAGAGUAGAGUUGUUAGAGGGUCGAACAAAAAAUCUUGCAGCAGUUUUGUUUCUUCUUUUUACGUUCCAUGUUUAAAUCCCACAGAGCUUAGGUUUGCCUUGCAUUCCUCUAAGGUCGAUAAAAUUACAUACCAGUCACAUUCGCCGGUCCACAACUACAUCCUGGUAACCAACCUUACUCUUCGCAACUUGUGGUGUUUCCCAAGCUGAGGGAGUAGAUGAAAAAGGCCAUGACAAGGAUCCAGGAUACAUUCAAAAUAGAGGGCUUCCGUGGGACUUUCACAAAGUGGCUGGAGCACUACAAGUUUAUUGAUGUCAGAGGAUCCUGUUUCGAAGGAGAUUAAAGUUUUGUACUUCUUUGAAAUAAAUAAAUGUCGCUUCUGAAAAAGUCUCAAAACUUCUGGAAUGCACUUUGAAUACUUCUAAAGUUAGCCAUCGUAUGACGGGUCACACUAUAACUAUUUCAUAUAAUUGCUACGCGCCCCCUUCACAUGACUGUGAAAUCUUAUAUGCUGAU